GCUGGGCAUGGUGGCGGGUGCCUGUAAUCCCAGCUACCUGGGGGGCUGAGGCAGGAGAAUCACUUGAGUCCGGGAGGUAGAGGUUGCAGUGAGCCCAGACUGUGCCACUGUACUCCAGCCUGGGCAAAAGAGUGAGACUCCGUCUCAA
RNAcentral lists this non-coding RNA (148 nucleotides) under Chlorocebus sabaeus (green monkey). The record is from Rfam by way of RNAcentral. Lineage: Eukaryota; Metazoa; Chordata; Mammalia; Primates; Cercopithecidae.